AAGAGACAGCAGUAGCCACGGUAAAACGGAGGAUCCAAGCGUUAUCCGGAAUCAUUGGGUUUAAAGGGUCCGUAGGCGGUCUUGUAAGUCAGUGGUGAAAGCCCAUCGCUCAACGGUGGAACGGCCAUUGAUACUGCAGGACUUGAAUUAUUGGGAAGUAACUAGAAUAUGUAGUGUAGCGGUGAAAUGCUUAGAGAUUACAUGGAAUACCAAUUGCGAAGGCAGGUUACUACCAAUUGAUUGACGCUGAUGGACGAAAGCGUGGGUAGCGAACAGGAUUAGAUACCCGUGUAGUCCCUGUCUCUUAUAC
Molecule: ribosomal RNA, 310 nt
Filed under: uncultured bacterium
Lineage: Bacteria
Description: partial 16S ribosomal RNA
Rfam family: Bacterial small subunit ribosomal RNA
Source: RNAcentral